This 285-nucleotide unclassified non-coding RNA is filed under the name fungal sp. RNAcentral describes it as "partial internal transcribed spacer region". The stretch from base 1 to 64 matches the Rfam family "Eukaryotic small subunit ribosomal RNA", at positions 1768 to 1831 of the family's 1831-position model. The record is from RNAcentral. Lineage: Eukaryota; Fungi.
CUCAUUUAGAGGAAGUAAAAGUCGUAACAAGGUUUCCGUAGGUGAACCUGCGGAAGGAUCAUUAACAAAUCAAUUGGUGGACAUUCACAUGUCCACUAUAUCAACCCGAACCUGUGCCUUUUAGGCCAGGCUAGGUGUGGGUAUGCCAAUUCUCCCUUUGGGAGAGGCGGCGUACUCGCGGUGAAGACGCAAGUCGGAUCCACAUAGACGCUUGUUUUUGUUUGACAGAUUUCAAUUGUAUCCAAAAUUAAAUGACAACUUUUAACAAUGGAUCUCUUGGCUCUU